AGUUUGAUCCUGGCUCAGGAUGAACGCUAGCGGCAGGCCUAAUACAUGCAAGUCGAACGGGAUUUAAUUUGGAGCUUGCUUUAGAUUAAUGAGAGUGGCGUACGGGUGCGUAACGCGUGAGCAACCUACCCAUAUCAGGGGGAUAGCCCGGCGAAAGUCGGAUUAAUACCGCAUAACAUUAAGGGGUGGCAUCAUCUUUUAAUCAAAUAUUUAUAGGAUAUGGAUGGGCUCGCGUGACAUUAGCUAGUUGGUAAGGUAACGGCUUACCAAGGCUUCGAUGUCUAGGGGCUCUGAGAGGAGAAUCCCCCACACUGGUACUGAGACACGGACCAGACUCCUACGGGAGGCAGCAGUAAGGAAUAUUGGUCAAUGGAGGGAACUCUGAACCAGCCAUGCCGCGUGCAGGAUGACUGCCCUAUGGGUUGUAAACUGCUUUUAUACGGGAAUAACCGUGGGUACGUGUACCCAUCUGAAUGUACCGUAAGAAUAAGGAUCGGCUAACUCCGUG
This 508-nucleotide ribosomal RNA is filed under the name uncultured Sphingobacteriaceae bacterium. RNAcentral's name for it is "bacterial SSU rRNA". It matches the Rfam family "Bacterial small subunit ribosomal RNA", at positions 10 to 507 of the family's 1533-position model. Lineage: Bacteria; Pseudomonadati; Bacteroidota; Sphingobacteriia; Sphingobacteriales; Sphingobacteriaceae. The record is from RNAcentral.